Molecule: long non-coding RNA, 1627 nt
Filed under: Gallus gallus (chicken)
Lineage: Eukaryota; Metazoa; Chordata; Aves; Galliformes; Phasianidae
Source: RNAcentral
GUUGUUUCUAAGGGAAAGGAUUGUGGGAUUUCAUCUGAGAAUAUUAUGUCUCCCAGCUUGAGAACUGGCAAAUAGACAAAGAAAAAUGCCAAGACUUGAGAAGUAGAACUGUGAUAAAAUGUUUUGCUAUUGGUUUUCCUGAAGCCUAGAAAAUCAUUGUUUCUAUAAAUGACCUUUCUGCUUCCACAGUAUUUAAAGUAAGUGGCUAUGCAUGCCCUUGGAAAGAAACUAUUAAUGAAAUGAUUAUUCCAGGUUCCUCUCUAUUUUUUUUUUUUAAGCAUCUACAAUUUCUUGGUCCAGAGGAUGCCUACCAGCACAGUCAUUAACUGAGAAUAUGUUUAUGGAUUUUACAAUCUGAAGAUAGUUAGGGUCAAUAACUAUGUUGCUUGCAAACACCUGGUUUUGUGAGUACUACUGUCACUGCUCUAAAUACAAGCUUUUGAUAUGGUCUCGUAUAAUGUGAUCCCCUUGCUAAAAUACCUAUCUGAACAUGAAAAUACACCUGUAGAUGCAGCAACUAAAUGUCCAAAGUAGUCUUGCAACUAUGUAGUUGCAUGCGAAAAUUAGAACUGGGUACACAAAGCCUAGACUGAAAUAUUUCCAAGGCCUUGGCACAAAAAUGAAGUAAUGCAGCGUUCUCUUUCUGAGUCCUCAAACCUACAGCUGUUGUUCUGGGAAGCUCUGAGGAACUGAUACUGAGGUAUCAGUAUACUGCAAGCAGGAAGGAGGGGGGAACCAACUGCUAAAAGGUGGUUAGAGGGAGAUUAUCUGUGUAAGAAAAUACCUUAAGCUCCUUUAUGACUAGGCCAUGCAUUAUUACACCCAGUCUGGGAAGGAACAAAUUACUACAGAAGUUGAAUAUAAUUAUUUCCAGAAAGUGGGAGUGAGAGAGACUUGAGAUACUGAAAUAACUUCUGGCACUGAACAGAAGAUCUUUCUGCUUUAUUGUUGCUCAACUUCUCAUAUUGGAUUUUGUUGCAAACCAAACUCCAUGAGUGGUGUGGAAAGCUGGACAGCUCAGCAAACAUUCACAAAUAGGGUGAAGAAGAUGGAGACUGUGCUAUGAAUGCCCACAGGAAGACAGGAAAACAAAAGUAGGUCCUGGAGUUCCAAUAUUUUAUUCACAGUUCUAAUAUUCACCAGCAGUUGAAUCUCCUACUUCAAAGGGGAGCACCAGACGGACCAAGCCGUGUCUCAGCAGCAGCGGGCGGCCCCCCCCAGCCGCGCACCGCCUGACCGAACCGCCCCCGCAGAGAGGGGGGCGCGCAGCUCCCGGCCCGCACCGCCGCACGGCUCGGCGCGCCCCUCCUCCGCCCGCCGCCCUCGCACGGCCGUGACCCGCAGGCCGCCCCGGCAGGUUAAUCCCCUCCGGCCCCUCCCACGGCGUCCCCCGGGCCUACGAAAGGCCCUCCCCCCGCUCACCGUGAAGGGGAUGUCCUCGACGCUGCCCACCGAGUAGCAGUUGUCCCCGGGGUUGACGGCGCCGGUGAGCACCUGGUGGAGAUGCAUCGCGACCGCUCGCCCGGGGACGGCGCCGCCGCCGCCUACGCCGGCGACGAGAAAACGAGACCCGGAUGGCGCCGCGCUCCCGCACGGGCCCUGCCCGCCGCUGCCACCGCCGCGAGCG